AGUGAACGCUGGCGGUAGGCCUAACACAUGCAAGUCGAACGGCAGCACAGUAAGAGCUUGCUCGUACGGGUGGCGAGUGGCGGACGGGUGAGGAAUACAUCGGAAUCUACUUUUUCGUGGGGGAUAACGUAGGGAAACUUACGCUAAUACCGCAUACGACCUACGGGUGAAAGCAGGGGAUCUUCGGACCUUGCCCGAUUGAAUGAGCCGAUGUCGGAUUAGCUAGUUGGCGGGGUAAAGGCCCACCAAGGCGACGAUCCGUAGCUGGUCUGAGAGGAUGAUCAGCCACACUGGAACUGAGACACGGUCCAGACUCCUACGGGAGGCAGCAGUGGGGAAUAUUGGACAAUGGGCGCAAGCCUGAUCCAGCCAUACCGCGUGGGUGAAGAAGGCCUUCGGGUUGUAAAGCCCUUUUGUUGGGAAAGAAAAGCAGCAGGUUAAUACCCCGCUGUUCUGACGGUACCCAAAGAAUAAGCACCGGCUAACUUCGUG
RNAcentral lists this ribosomal RNA (492 nucleotides) under uncultured bacterium. RNAcentral describes it as "partial 16S ribosomal RNA". It matches the Rfam family "Bacterial small subunit ribosomal RNA", at positions 29 to 507 of the family's 1533-position model. The record is from RNAcentral.